UCUAUAUUGGGAAGAUUGGCAUCACUCUGUUUGUGCAUAGAUUUUAGCUAUCUAUCAGGUUUUUUUGGUAGUAAAGUCUUCUAGUUUGCAGGUCUGUGUAGAUUAUAAGGGUCUUGGUGAAACGGUGUUUUACGGCAUGUUGUGAUACCAGUCCAAUAUUUUGCAGUUGAUCUUAUGAAGCCUGGGACCACUGUUAUUCUGCGAAAUGCAAAGAUUGACAUGUUCAAGGGGUCUAUGAGGCUUGCAGUGGACAAGUGGGGACGCAUUGAAGUUACUGAACCUGCAAAUUUUGUAGUUCAAGAAAA
Molecule: unclassified non-coding RNA, 305 nt
Filed under: Hevea brasiliensis (rubber tree)
Lineage: Eukaryota; Viridiplantae; Streptophyta; Magnoliopsida; Malpighiales; Euphorbiaceae
Source: RNAcentral